RNAcentral lists this ribosomal RNA (253 nucleotides) under uncultured bacterium. RNAcentral's name for it is "partial 16S ribosomal RNA". It matches the Rfam family "Bacterial small subunit ribosomal RNA", at positions 524 to 776 of the family's 1533-position model. The record is from RNAcentral.
UACAGAGGUCUCAAGCGUUGUUCGGAUUCAUUGGGCGUAAAGGGUGUGUAGGUGGCGCGUUAAGUCGGGUGUGAAAUUUCGGAGCUUAACUCCGAAACUGCAUUCGAUACUGGCGUGCUUGAGGACUGGAGAGGAGACUGGAAUUUACGGUGUAGCAGUGAAAUGCGUAGAUAUCGUAAGGAAGACCAGUGGCGAAGGCGGGUCUCUGGACAGUUCCUGACGCUGAGGCACGAAGGCCAGGGGAGCAAACGGG